This 841-nucleotide ribosomal RNA is filed under the name uncultured bacterium. RNAcentral's name for it is "bacterial SSU rRNA". It matches the Rfam family "Bacterial small subunit ribosomal RNA", at positions 26 to 898 of the family's 1533-position model. The record is from RNAcentral.
AGAAUCAACGCUGGCGGCGUGCCUAACACAUGCAAGUCGAACGAGAAAGUGGAGCAAUCCAUGAGUAAAGUGGCGACCGGGUGAGUAACACGUGACUAACCUACCCUCGAGUGUGGAAUAACAUCGGGAAACCGAUGCUAAUACCGCAUAACAUCGCAAGAUCAAAGGAGCAAUCCGCUUGAGGAGGGGGUCGCGGCUGAUUAGCUAGUUGGCGGGGUAACGGCCCACCAAGGCGAAGAUCGGUAGCCGGCCUGAGAGGGCGCACGGCCACACUGGAACUGAAACACGGUCCAGACUCCUACGGGAGGCAGCAGUGGGGAAUUUUGCGCAAUGGGGGAAACCCUGACGCAGCAACGCCGCGUGGAGGAUGAAGCCCCUUGGGGCGUAAACUCCUUUCGACCAAGACGAUAAUGACGGUACUGGUGGAAGAAGCACCGGCUAACUCUGUGCCAGCAGCCGCGGUAAUACAGAGGGUGCAAGCGUUGUUCGGAAUUAUUGGGCGUAAAGGGUGCGUAGGCGGUUUGGCAAGUCUUAUGUGAAAUCUAUGGGCUCAACCCAUAGCCUGCAUGAGAAACUGCCGGGCUUGAGUAUGGGAGAGGUGAGUGGAAUUUCCGGUGUAGCGGUGAAAUGCGUAGAUAUCGGAAGGAACACCUGUGGCGAAAGCGGCUCACUGGACCAUAACUGACGCUGAGGCACGAAAGCUAGGGGAGCAAACAGGAUUAGAUACCCUGGUAGUCCUAGCCCUAAACGAUGAUUGCUUGAUGUGGCAGGUACCCAAUCCUGCUGUGUCGAAGCUAACGCGAUAAGCAAUCCGCCUGGGGAGUACGGUCGCAAGGCUGAA